GACGAACGCUGGCGGCGUGCUUAACACAUGCAAGUCGAACGGAAAGGCCCUGCUUGCAGGGUACUCGAGUGGCGAACGGGUGAGUAACACGUGGGUGAUCUGCCCUGCACUUCGGGAUAAGCCUGGGAAACUGGGUCUAAUACCGGAUAGGAGCCAUUUUUAGUGUGAUGGUUGGAAAGUUUUUUCGGUGUAGGAUGAGCUCGCAGCCUAUCAGCUUGUUGGUGGGGUAAUGGCCUACCAAGGCGGCGACGGGUAGCCGGCCUGAGAGGGUGGACGGCCACAUUGGGACUGAGAGACGGCCCAGACUCCUACGGGAGGCAGCAGUGGGGAAUAUUGCACAAUGGGCGCAAGCCUGAUGCAGCGACGCCGCGUGGGGGAUGACGGCCUUCGGGUUGUAAACUCCUUUCGCUAGGGACGAAGCUUUUUGUGACGGUACCUAGAUAAGAAGCACCGGCUAACUACGUG
Molecule: ribosomal RNA, 465 nt
Filed under: uncultured bacterium
Lineage: Bacteria
Description: partial 16S ribosomal RNA
Rfam family: Bacterial small subunit ribosomal RNA
Source: RNAcentral